RNAcentral lists this ribosomal RNA (350 nucleotides) under uncultured bacterium. Its description in RNAcentral is "bacterial SSU rRNA". It matches the Rfam family "Bacterial small subunit ribosomal RNA", at positions 29 to 371 of the family's 1533-position model. The record is from RNAcentral.
AUGAACGCUGGCGGCGCGCCUAAUACAUGCAAGUCGAGCGAGAAGACGUAGCAAUACGUUUGUAAAGCGGCGAACGGGUGAGGAAUACAUGGGUAACCUACCCUAGAGUGGGGAAUAACUAGCCGAAAGGUUAGCUAAUACCGCGUACGCUCCUUGGACUUCGGUUCAGGGAGGAAAGCGAUGCCGAGGGUAUCGCGCUCUUGGAUGGGCUCAUGUCCUAUCAGCUUGNGGUGAGGUAACGGCUCACCAAGGCUUCGACGGGUAGCUGGUCUGAGAGAACGAUCAGCCACACUGGCACUGCGACACGGGCCAGACUCCUACGGGAGGCAGCAGUAAGGAAUAUUGCGCAA